This 218-nucleotide non-coding RNA is filed under the name Methyloversatilis sp. RAC08. RNAcentral also lists the same sequence under 1 other name. The record is from RNAcentral. Lineage: Bacteria; Pseudomonadati; Pseudomonadota; Betaproteobacteria; Nitrosomonadales; Sterolibacteriaceae.
UACCCUGCGCGUGCUUCAGGUGCCCUGACCAGCGUUCGCUGCGAGGGGUGAAACGGGAAGUCCGGUGAGUGCCUGCAACCAGGUCGCGAUCCCGGCGCUGCCCCCGCAACGGUAAGCGAGUCGUAGCGAUUCAAUCAGCCACUGUGCGCCACGCAUGGGAAGGCGAAUCGCACAUUUCCCUCGCGAGCCCGGAGACCGGCCUGACGCAUUUGACCGAU